This 2416-nucleotide long non-coding RNA is filed under the name Coffea arabica (coffee). Its description in RNAcentral is "long non-coding RNA (CARA_LNC000532)". Lineage: Eukaryota; Viridiplantae; Streptophyta; Magnoliopsida; Gentianales; Rubiaceae. The record is from RNAcentral.
GGAAAGCUUGGGGCUGCCCUUAGUGAUCUCUAACCAAGGUAAGAGAGCUUAUCUCUCCAAGUUUUAGUUUCAAUCUUGUUCAAUUAAGCUUGGUAACUUGAUUUUACGGUGAAAUCAUGGAUGAUUAACAUGUUUUAGUAGUUUUCCCCUUUCUUAUUUGAUGAACUAGGGCUUGGGGAAAUUCUGCCCAAAUUGUUGUAAGAUGCUUAUAUGUUGCAAUUGAAGUUUCAUAAGGUGUUGUGGUAGUGAUUAGACCAAGAAAUUAAGGAAAGAUUCACUAGAAACCGAAAAUUUCAGAAUCUGGAAAAUUAUUGCCAACUUUCUGUCCGAAAUUUUAACUGUAUGUUAGAGGCUGAUUUGGCCUUGGGUCAAAGAAGGAAAGUUGUAGAGAAUGGUAUUUUAUCGGUGCCUAUAAAAUUUCAGCUCAAUCGGAGCAACGUAGGUCAUGAAAAGUCCGAAAUACCCCUACUGUUUUAAUUGUUUCCCAGCAGUCCGUUUCUUCAGCUAAGUUCAGUUUAUCGCAUUUUUUGACCAGGAUCCAUUCUGAUUUAGCUCUGGGUCAAAACAUGAAAUUUGUAGUGUUCUGAAGUAGCUUUAAAAUGCCUCUAAGAACACCUGAAUUGGACUUUUGUACACUGAGUUAUGUCCAUUACAGUGUUCUGCAUUUAAACAGCCGACGAAUUGGUUUCUGGUUUAGUAAUUCGAGAAUUUGACUAAGUUACAUUAGGAACUGGACUAAGUGACCUUCAUGAAUGUUGUAUCUCUGUGUCUUAGCUUCGAAACGGCAUAGGUUUCGUUUUAAUCUGAUAAGCGUAGCCUCGGAUAUGUUAUUUCCGCAUUUGUACGUCAAAUCUGUCUUGAACUAAAUUGAAUUUCUGCACUUGUACUUAAUGCGAUUCUUGUUGUUAUGAUAUUGUGAGCCUAUGGAACGGCUCUUGACAUAAAUUGCUGAUAUGUAUGUUGUUGGGCUGUUGUUGAAGAAAAAUAAUGAAGCCUAAAUGGCUGGAAAAUUAGGUAAACACAAAGGGCAUGCUGCCCAAAUUUACGCUCGAGGACUAUAUAAAUACACUUGCGACUUGGGUCGAAUUGAUAUGAAUAGUACUUAAACCAUCUAGGGUACUUGAGUCUUCUUGUUCGAGGUAUAUAAGUAAGGACUUGGCCGAACUUGUACCCUUGAGAAAUGAAAUAAUGAUUGCUCGAAGUAUGUUUUCCUUGUACUUCAACUCGCAAGACAAUUUCAAGUAUAAAUGUUACAAAGUUUUAUCAUUUAAAAAGUGAGCGAGUAUCUCACGAGUAUUUUCCAAGUGAAUUUCAAUUUCUUGAUUCUUAUUGAACGAAACGUCUAAGUUUCGAACUCUAGUCAUGUUUCAAAGUUCUCAAACUGAGUUUUAUCGCAGAUUUGGACUCCGAACCGGAGUAUAACCUGAAAGUGACCAGUAAAGGCACUAUAUCUUUUGGUGAGUGCUUUCAAAUACCGAAUUGAACUUGAUACUUGAACUUGAUACGUGACCAAUCUGAUUACAUGUUAUAUACGUGAAUUGUAAGGGCAAGAGUGUACUUUAUCGCACUUGCCCUUACGUGAUAUACUUGUUUAUUGUUGCAAUUGACUUGAUAUACUUGUUUAUGGUGCGCGCACUUCCUGGAAUUCCAGAAACCCUGUGGCGAGUUACUCUAGUCGAGCCGGCAAGGGCUUGGUCGAUUGGGUAACGAACCCUGGGUCUCUUGUAUUGUCGAGUGGAGUGAUAUCUCCUCGACUAACGGUAUACUCGAGUAUUACCACCCGUGUUUAUUGAGGAUUUUGGGCCCAGCUGGGGGUUUGAACGGUGGACGGAGAGUCGUGUAAGUGGUGUUCUACUGGAUUGGUUACUUACUUGAAAGUUGACGGAGUGUCAACUACUACGGGAUCAAGCUUCUGGUAAUGCCAUGGGAAUUUGGCUCCUGAGAGUCAUCCGUAUCCUUAUACUUUGGAGUGAUUAUUGUUUAUUGGAUUAUUGUUUCUUUUGAAAAAUUUUUACAUUCGCCCAUUUUAAGAUUUCUACUUGACGUGUUACUGUUCACAUUUAUGAACACUUUAUGCUCGUUACUUUGCUAUAUCGAAAACUCGUACUUAUAAAUAAUGGUCAAUUUGCUAUUUGGAACCUCACUGGGCUUUUAGCUCAUUCCACUCCAUUUGUUUUCCUUUCAGAGGUACGAGCGAGGUGUGAGAUAUGUAAAGUCUAGCAUAGACUAGCUGUUUGAUUUUGACUUGUACUCACGCUAUUUCUCGAAUGGAACACGUUGUAUUUGGAUUGUAUUCGUUUUGAUCUAGUUUGGUGUAUUGAGACUUCGUACUUCGAUUUCUAUUAAUGUAAAUUAUAAGCUUGAAUUGGGAAUGUUAUUUAUGGUUCAUGAAUGUGUGUACGUGACUCGAUUGAGA